Molecule: small RNA, 154 nt
Filed under: Muricomes intestini
Lineage: Bacteria; Bacillati; Bacillota; Clostridia; Lachnospirales; Lachnospiraceae
Description: Clostridiales-1 RNA
Rfam family: Clostridiales-1 RNA
Source: RNAcentral
UGAUACCAGAGUCAAAAGGUCAUGCGUUUCAUGCUUGCAUGAAAAAGCAUGACUUUGGGACCCGCAAAACAUGAGAAAGCAGCCCGAGCAGGGCGGAUUUCGAAUGUUUUUAGGAUUGCGGGAGCACAAAGUGCGGAGCAAUCCGUAGAUAUCA